Molecule: ribosomal RNA, 501 nt
Filed under: Dietzia maris
Lineage: Bacteria; Bacillati; Actinomycetota; Actinomycetes; Mycobacteriales; Dietziaceae
Description: bacterial SSU rRNA
Rfam family: Bacterial small subunit ribosomal RNA
Source: RNAcentral
UGGAGAGUUUGAUCCUGGCUCAGGACGAACGCUGGCGGCGUGCUUAACACACGCAAGUCGAACGGUAAGGCCCCUUCGGGGGUACACGAGUGGCGAACGGGUGAGUAACACGUGGGUAAUCUGCCCUGCACUUCGGGAUAAGCCUGGGAAACUGGGUCUAAUACCGGAUAUGAACUCCUGCCGCAUGGUGGGGGUUGGAAAGUUUUUCGGUGCAGGAUGAGCCCGCGGCCUAUCAGCUUGUUGGUGGGGUAAUGGCCUACCAAGGCGACGACGGGUAGCCGGCCUGAGAGGGUGAUCGGCCACACUGGGACUGAGACACGGCCCAGACUCCUACGGGAGGCAGCAGUGGGGAAUAUUGCACAAUGGGCGAAAGCCUGAUGCAGCGACGCCGCGUGGGGGAUGACGGUCUUCGGAUUGUAAACCCCUUUCAGUAGGGACGAAGCGCAAGUGACGGUACCUGCAGAAGAAGCACCGGCUAACUACGUGCCAGCAGCCGCGGUA